Molecule: non-coding RNA, 222 nt
Organism: Pelobates cultripes (western spadefoot toad)
Lineage: Eukaryota; Metazoa; Chordata; Amphibia; Anura; Pelobatidae
Source: the annotation of a GenBank genome assembly
GUCUGUUCCUUUCAACAAAUAUCUUAUGCAGUAAACUAUCUGUAGCACAUGACCUCAGGCAUAGUCCAGCAGUUAAAUUUUCUUCAUUAAAGGGACAGUUCCAGAGAAUAGCCCAAUUUUUCAAAGUCCAUCUCUCCGGUGCUUUAACUUUAACUCCUUAAGGACACAUGACAUGUGUGACAUGUCAUGAUUCCCUUUUAUUCCAGAAGUUUGGUCCUUAAG